This 301-nucleotide ribosomal RNA is filed under the name uncultured bacterium. RNAcentral's name for it is "partial 16S ribosomal RNA". It matches the Rfam family "Bacterial small subunit ribosomal RNA", at positions 509 to 809 of the family's 1533-position model. The record is from RNAcentral.
CAGUCGCCGCGGUAAUACGAAGGGUGCAAGCGUUACUCGGAAUUACUGGGCGUAAAGCGUGCGUAGGUGGUGGUUUAAGUCCGUUGUGAAAGCCCUGGGCUCAAACUGGGAAUUGCAGUGGAUACUGGGUCACUAGAGUGUGUCAGAGGAUGGUGGAAUUCCCGGUGUAGCGGUGAAAUGCGUAGAGAUCGGGAGGAACAUCAGUGGCGAAGGCGGCCAUCUGGGACAACACUGACGCUGAGGCACGAAAGCGUGGGGAGCAAACAGGAUUAGAUACCCCAGUAGUCCCUGUCUCUUAUAA